This 688-nucleotide ribosomal RNA is filed under the name Vibrio cholerae. RNAcentral describes it as "partial 23S ribosomal RNA". It matches the Rfam family "Bacterial large subunit ribosomal RNA", at positions 1223 to 1895 of the family's 2925-position model. The record is from RNAcentral. Lineage: Bacteria; Pseudomonadati; Pseudomonadota; Gammaproteobacteria; Vibrionales; Vibrionaceae.
AUUGGGUAGGGGAGCGUUCUGUAAGCCGUUGAAGGUGAAUCGUAAGGUUUGCUGGAGGUAUCAGAAGUGCGAAUGCUGACAUGAGUAACGACAAGGGGGGUGAAAAACCUCCCCGCCGGAAGACCAAGGGUUCCUGUCCAACGUUAAUCGGGGCAGGGUGAGUCGACCCCUAAGGCGAGGCUGAAAAGCGUAGUCGAUGGGAAACGGGUUAAUAUUCCCGUACUCAAUCAAAUUGCGAUGGGGGGACGGAGAAGGCUAGGUGGGCCAGGCGACGGUUGUCCUGGUUCAAGUGCGUAGGCUUAAGAGUUAGGUAAAUCCGGCUCUUUCUAAGGCUGAGACACGACGUCGAGCUACUACGGUAGUGAAGUCAUUGAUGCCAUGCUUCCAGGAAAAGCCUCUAAGCUUCAGAUUUGAUGGAAUCGUACCCCAAACCGACACAGGUGGUCGGGUAGAGAAUACCAAGGCGCUUGAGAGAACUCGGGUGAAGGAACUAGGCAAAAUGGUACCGUAACUUCGGGAGAAGGUACGCUCUUGAUGGUGAAGUCCCUCGCGGAUGGAGCUGACGAGAGUCGCAGAUACCAGGUGGCUGCAACUGUUUAUUAAAAACACAGCACUGUGCAAAAUCGCAAGAUGACGUAUACGGUGUGACGCCUGCCCGGUGCCGGAAGGUUAAUUGAUGGGGUUAGCG